UUAAGUUCAGCGCGUAUUCCUACCUGAUCUGAGGUCAAUAAAUGAAGAUGAGCCAAGAGCACGAGGCACGAGGCGGGCUUAAGGUGCAGCACCAGAAGUGCACCGGCAAUGCAACGAGUUGGACGAACCUAGAACGUUGUGUAACCGGGCGGCAGGCCGCACCAAUGCAUUUGAGGAGAGCGUCCCACGAGGGGUCGCAG
RNAcentral lists this unclassified non-coding RNA (200 nucleotides) under Taphrinales sp. RNAcentral's name for it is "partial internal transcribed spacer 2". The record is from RNAcentral. Lineage: Eukaryota; Fungi; Ascomycota; Taphrinomycetes; Taphrinales.